AGUGAACGCUGGCGGCAGGCCUAACACAUGCAAGUCGAGCGGAAGAAGGGAGCUUGCUCCUGGAUUCAGCGGCGGACGGGUGAGUAAUGCCUAGGAAUCUGCCAGGUAGUGGGGGAUAACGUCCGGAAACGGGCGCUAAUACCGCAUAAGUCCUGAGGGAGAAAGGGGGGGAGCUUCGGACCUCACGCUAUCAGAUGAGCCUAGGUCGGAUUAGCUAGUUGGUGGGGUAAAGGCCUACCAAGGCGACGAUCCGUAACUGGUCUGAGAGGAUGAUCAGUCACACUGGAACUGAGACACGGUCCAGACUCCUACGGGAGGCAGCAGUGGGGAAUAUUGGACAAUGGGCGAAAGCCUGAUCCAGCCAUGCCGCGUGUGUGAAGAAGGUCUUCGGAUUGUAAAGCCCUUUUGGUUGGGAGGAAGAGCAGUAAGUUAAUACCUUGCUGUUUUGACGUUACCAAAAGAAUAAGCACCGGCUAACUUCGUG
Molecule: ribosomal RNA, 484 nt
Filed under: uncultured bacterium
Lineage: Bacteria
Description: partial 16S ribosomal RNA
Rfam family: Bacterial small subunit ribosomal RNA
Source: RNAcentral